RNAcentral lists this ribosomal RNA (706 nucleotides) under Ampithoe valida. Its description in RNAcentral is "bacterial SSU rRNA". It matches the Rfam family "Eukaryotic small subunit ribosomal RNA", at positions 1300 to 1830 of the family's 1831-position model. Lineage: Eukaryota; Metazoa; Arthropoda; Malacostraca; Amphipoda; Ampithoidae. The record is from RNAcentral.
GGUGGAGCGAUCUGUCUGGUUAAUUCCGAUAACGAACGAGACUCUCCCCUGCUAACUAGUCGGUUGGAUCUUGAUUCGCGAGUAAUGCGCCCCGGCGGUGUCUUCUCACGGCUGUGCGUGGAGGUUGAGGGCGCGCGCCUGUGCUUACGUGCGGGUGUGUGUCUCUUUUCUCUCCCGCAUGCCUGAGAGCCCUCGGGUAGUGCACACUCCAAGUCCGCCGCUUAUGCUGUAAGUCUUCUUAGAGGGAUCCACGGCUCUGAAGCCGUCAGAGACUGAGAGCAAUAACAGGUCUGUGAUGCCCUUAGAUGCUCUGGGCCGCACGCGCGCUACAAUGCCGGACACAGCAGGUGUUUUUCCUUCUCCGAGAGGAGCGGGCAACCCUCUGAAAGUCCUUCUGUCUCAUGGUGUCACGUUCGUCCUUCGGGGCGGCGUGCAAGGCGUGCUUGGGCCUGGAGCUUGCAAUUUUUCUCCACAAACGAGGAAUGCCUAGUAGCGGUGGGUCACUGAGCCCACCGUGACUCAGUCCCUGCCCUUUGUACACACCGCCCGUCGCUACUACCGAUUGGGUGUACCAGUGAGAGCCUUGGACUGGCGGCCGCUGCCCUUCGGGCAAGCGGAUUCGACUGAAAGAGGUCCGAACUGGUGCACUUAGAGGAAGUAAAAGUCGUAACAAGGUUUCCGUAGGUGAACCUGCGGAAGGAUCAUU